RNAcentral lists this ribosomal RNA (636 nucleotides) under Metacalanus sp. AR07. RNAcentral describes it as "partial 28S ribosomal RNA". It matches the Rfam family "Eukaryotic large subunit ribosomal RNA", at positions 113 to 667 of the family's 3401-position model. Lineage: Eukaryota; Metazoa; Arthropoda; Copepoda; Calanoida; Arietellidae. The record is from RNAcentral.
GCCGAACGGCAGGCCUUACCGGUCUCGCUGAAUGUGGCGUUUGGGAGAGUCUUCUCGCGAGAUGGACGGCCAGUCAAAGUCCAACUUGACUGUGGCCAUUGCCCGUAGAAGGUGAUAGGCCUGUAAGGCGGCUGUCCUCUCGCGCCGACUUUUCCCUAGAGUCGGGUUGCUUGGGAGUGCAGCCCAAAGCGCGAGGUAAACUCCUCGUAAGGCUAAAUAUGACCACGAGACCGAUAGCAAACAAGUACCGUGAGGGAAAAUUGAAAAGAACUUUGAAGAGAGAGUUCAAUAGUACGUGAAACUGUCUGGUGGUAAACGGAGGGUUUCUCGAAGUUGGCGAGGGGGACUCAACCUUGGUGGCGGAUCGGCCUCGGCGCGGUAGAUCAGCGAUGACUCCGCGUCGGGCUCGGCUCGUCUCCCGGGCGCAUUUUCUCCUCGCUUUACGGCAGGAACCGUUGACGUCGGACCUAAGGCCCGGGGAGAAGUUGUCGGUUCUGCUGGCAGCCCUCGGUGUCCUGGCUCCGCGGUCGACGGGUACCCGAGCGAACUCGUACAGCGAGCGUCUCGUCUGACGCGGUUCGCGAUUCUCUGCCGAGUAGGUCGGCGGACCCUCCGACCCGUCUUGAAACACGGACC